RNAcentral lists this ribosomal RNA (369 nucleotides) under uncultured soil bacterium. RNAcentral's name for it is "bacterial SSU rRNA". It matches the Rfam family "Bacterial small subunit ribosomal RNA", at positions 319 to 671 of the family's 1533-position model. The record is from RNAcentral.
CUGAGGACAACGGUCCCGGCAGUCCCUACGGGAGGCAGCAGUGGGUGGAAUAUUGGACAAUGGGGGGAAACCCCUGAUCCAGCGACGCCGCGUGUGUGAAGAAGGCCUGCGGGUUGUAAAGCACUUUUAGUGGGGACAAAAAGCUACGGAUUAAUACUCUGUGGUCUUGAUUUAACACAAAGAAAAAGCACCGGCUAACUCUGUGCCAGCAGCCGCGGUAAUACAGAGGGUGCGAGCGUUAAUCGGAAUUACUGGGCGUAAAGCGCGCGUAGACGGUGUUGUAAGUCAGAUGUGAAAUUCCUGGGCUCAUCCUGGGGACUGCAUUUUAGACGUAUGGACUAGAGUGGAGAAGAGGGUUGCGGAAUUUCC